UGGGAUCUCGAUGCUGGAAUC
This 21-nucleotide microRNA is filed under the name Caenorhabditis brenneri. RNAcentral's name for it is "cbn-miR-7635". The record is from miRBase by way of RNAcentral. Lineage: Eukaryota; Metazoa; Nematoda; Chromadorea; Rhabditida; Rhabditidae.